Long non-coding RNA from Diceros bicornis minor, 166 nucleotides. RefSeq lists it as uncharacterized. Lineage: Eukaryota; Metazoa; Chordata; Mammalia; Perissodactyla; Rhinocerotidae. The transcript has 3 exons. The record is from RefSeq and is a predicted model, not a curated record.
UUUCCAUCAUAAGAAGAUUCUGGGAUUAUGGCCGUAUUGCCUUGGUGUCAGAAGCAGACAGUGAAUCCAGAUUCCAGAGAUCAUUGUCGUCUUCCUCCUCAAGGCAACACGACGUUGAAAGCGAGCGGGGACUGUUCUCCUGGCUGGUUAGGAUCUUCCACCUGAG